ACCUGCGACCCGGAGAAAAGACGUGGGAAUGCGAAGGGAUGCACUGCUGUGUGGACUGUAGAGCCUGUCCGAUGUCGGCAGGCUCUAAUUUUUUAU
Molecule: small RNA, 96 nt
Filed under: uncultured Enterobacter sp.
Lineage: Bacteria; Pseudomonadati; Pseudomonadota; Gammaproteobacteria; Enterobacterales; Enterobacteriaceae
Source: RNAcentral